This 254-nucleotide ribosomal RNA is filed under the name uncultured bacterium. RNAcentral describes it as "partial 16S ribosomal RNA". It matches the Rfam family "Bacterial small subunit ribosomal RNA", at positions 524 to 776 of the family's 1533-position model. The record is from RNAcentral.
UACGUAGGGGGCAAGCGUUGUCCGGAUUUAUUGGGCGUAAAGAGCUCGUAGGCGGCUUAGUAAGUCGGGUGUGAAACCUCCAGGCUCAACCUGGAGACGCCACCCGAUACUGCUGUGGCUAGAGUCCGGUAGGGGAGCGUGGAAUUCCUGGUGUAGCGGUGAAAUGCGCAGAUAUCAGGAGGAACACCGGUGGCGAAGGCGGGUCUCUGGGCAGUAACUGACGCUGAGGAGCGAAAGCGUGGGGAGCGAACAGG